GAGUUUGAUCCUGGCUCAGAUUGAACGCUGGCGGCAUGCCUUACACAUGCAAGUCGAACGGCAGCAUGAUCUAGCUUGCUAGAUUGAUGGCGAGUGGCGAACGGGUGAGUAAGUACAUCGGAACGUGCCCUGUAGUGGGGAUAACUAGUCGAAAGAUUAGCUAAUACCGCAUACGACCUGAGGGUGAAAGUGGGGGACCGCAAGGCCUCAUGCUAUAGGAGCGGCCGAUGUCUGAUUAGCUAGUUGGUGGGGUAAAGGCCCACCAAGGCGACGAUCAGUAGCUGGUCUGAGAGGAC
This 296-nucleotide ribosomal RNA is filed under the name uncultured microorganism. Its description in RNAcentral is "partial 16S ribosomal RNA". It matches the Rfam family "Bacterial small subunit ribosomal RNA", at positions 9 to 301 of the family's 1533-position model. The record is from RNAcentral.